This 337-nucleotide unclassified non-coding RNA is filed under the name soil metagenome. RNAcentral's name for it is "partial contains 5.8S ribosomal RNA, internal transcribed spacer 2, and large subunit ribosomal RNA". The stretch from base 1 to 120 matches the Rfam family "5.8S ribosomal RNA", at positions 35 to 154 of the family's 154-position model. The record is from RNAcentral.
GAUGAAGAACGCAGCGAAAUACGAUAAGUAGUGUGAAUUGCAGAAUUCAGUGAAUCAUCGAAUCUUUGAACGCACAUUGCGCCCCUUGGUAUUCCAUGGGGCAUGCCUGUUCGAGCGUCAUUUGUACCUUCAAGCUCUGCUUGGUGUUGGGUGUUUGUCUCGCCUCUGCGUGUAGACUCGCCUCAAAACAAUUGGCAGCCGGCGUAUUGAUUUCGGAGCGCAGUACAUCUCGCGCUUUGCACUCAUAACGACGACGUCCAAAAGUACAUUUUUACACUCUUGACCUCGGAUCAGGUAGGGAUACCCGCUGAACUUAAGCAUAUCAAUAAGCGGAGGA